This is a long non-coding RNA of Clupea harengus (Atlantic herring), 5891 nucleotides long. NCBI's taxonomy places the organism in Eukaryota, Metazoa, Chordata, Actinopteri, Clupeiformes, Clupeidae. The record is from Ensembl.
CACACACACACACACACACACACACACACACACACACACACCUCGGGUCCAGAAGUACUGCGGGGACCAGCUAUGCGGCAGCACCUCAGCCUGAGCAAGGAGAAGGUUCCUGCAGCACCUCUUCAGCCUCAGCGUCGGUGGUGCACAGGGGGCCGUGGACAGGGAGCUGGUGGUCUGCUUUGAGACGUGGUGUGGGAACAAUCACCUCCUCUUACACGUGACCAAGAUGAAGGAGAAAGAUGUGAAUAUAAGGAGGACCAGGACUGAGCUGAACACCAUUUUUCAUCCUGGGAGACGAGGUGGACGUGGCGGAGGAGGGAUACAGAUACCUGGGUGAUCACCAUGACAACAGACUUGACUGGAAAUGGAACACUGAGAGGCUAAAGGAGCUGAAACAGAGAGAGUUUGCCCGGAACGUGGCCUCAAAGUCCUGGAAGGAUGAGAGGAAGCAGGAGCGAGCGCUGAAGCGCCUGUACCAGCUGGCCCAGCUCAGACAGCAGUCAGACAGCGAGAGGAGUCCCAGUCUGCCCCCUGUGACCCCUGUGGCUCCCAGCACGGAGGAGGCCCCCGAGGAGGAGCAAGGACCAGCGCCCCACACCACCUCCUCUCCAGCGCCCUCCACCCGCCCUCGCUCCCGCUCCAGCCCUUCAGCGCCUCUCUGGAGCCGCAAGGCGCCACCCUCCGCCGCCGCCUCUGCCCCCCUCUCCCUGGGCAGACCGUGCCGGCGGCCCCCUCAUCCCCCUCACGGCCCUCGCGUGGGCAUCUCCUUCUGCUUCUCGCGCCGCGCCGUGCCCAAGCUGGACUCCUGCGCCUCGGUGUUCGCCGACGCGCCCGACGACGAGUUCCAGAGGCCCGGAGGAAGGAGGCCCAGCCUCCACGCCCUCCCGUCCCACUCUCCUUCACCCUCCCACGGGCACGACGGCGACCUCGGCAGCCCCCUAAGGCCCCCAGAAAAUCUGGAAUUAAACGAGGCCAGGGCACGGCUGGAGGACACGAAAGAGAGGGAGAAGAGGAGGGAGGGACGGAGUGAUGAAACGGGAGAGAAAGACACCUCGUCGAGAGACGGCUCCUCUCACGCUCCGGAGUGUGUGUGUGUGUGUGCACAUGCUGACUCUAACCCAAGCAACUGUCACCCUCCCUGCGUGUGCGUGUGUGUGUGUGUGUGCGACCCAGAGAAACCCCACGCAGGACCUCAGAUGCACUCGACCCACAUUCACCCCCACAUGCACACAGCUCCUUCCCCCGAGCUGCAAGGACAGGAUGUUGAGGCGGAUCCUGUUUGGGACUCAGCAGAGGCGGGGGGACAAGGGCACCUGUGUAAAUCAGGCUGCCACAGCUCCGAGGAGGAGGAGGAAGAGGAGGAGGAGGAGGAGGAAGGCUCAUUCAUCAGUGUCCUGGCGAAAGACGGAGGGCCGUCUCUCAGGUGGCCCUUGGAGCUGCUGGGCUACACACACACGGAGCCCCAUCUGCCCUACAGCUGCAACCCCUGCCACGCUCAGACGCACACACUCCGCCUCUACACACACCGGGAGGACGCACACACACGCCACAGUACCCCCGCCGAGAGUGAAGACACACACACACGCCGCCUCUACACACACACGGAGGACGCACAAACACGCCACAGUACCCCCGUCGCGAGCGAAGACACACACACACGCCGCCUCUACACACACACGGAGGACGCACAAACACGCCACAGUACCCCCGCCGAGAGUGAAGACACGAUCCCUAAUCUGACACCAACACAAGACACGGUGUGCUGUGUGACACCCAACGCACACGACGAGACGUCCUCCCAUAUCACGUCAGCAUCAGAGACACACACACACUCAGGAACACCUGAAGCAGGGGAAGACACACACACACACUCCAGAACACCUGAGGCAGGGGAAGACACACACACACACUCAGCGGCACCAUGCAAGCACACACAUGGUAAAAGGAGGCCUGGUGUAGACUGCACAGAGCGCCCCGUCACACACACACACACGCUUACACACCUCAAAAGGGCCCCACAUGCAAACACACACAUGCUGCUCUCACAGAGCCCCAGCACAUUGGCACGAGCUCAUCUCAAGCGGAGAAGCACAGCGGAGGAGGAAGACGAGGAGGAAGACAUGGGAUUGGGAUGCCGAGAAACGGAGGCCGUGUUUGUGACGGCGGAACCCGAGCGGCCAUCGCCUCCGGCCAGGCCCAAGCGCCGCCGCAAGCACAGCGGGAGGAAGACGAAGGGGGCGGCGGCGGCGGCAGACACGAACACAACGUGUGACAAAGGACAGCGAGGAGGACCGCACGCGAGGAGGAAGAGGAAGAGAGCCGCAGCGGAGGGGGUGAGUUCCAGCCGGGUUGCCAUGGCGACGCCGGAGCCUAGCCUGAGGAGCGUGGUGGUGAAGUCGUUCUCCGCUCCGCCGAGCAAGCGGGGCGAAACGAGACGCCGCGCGGAGAGAAGGGUGGCGAAGGCUCUGCGCCUCGAGCGAUGGACGCCCUUCUCCCCUGAACCCGCCUCCGGCUGCUCGGCGACGACGGCUGACGACCACAGCUGGAGUUACGACUUUGACGUCUAUAAACAAGAUGACAGCUACAAGGUAACGCCCAGAGACAGGCACAGUUAUGAAGACCGAGAGACAGAUAUGCGCUGCGAGGCGUGGGAUGACCCCGCAUGUGACGACCCUGCAUGGGAUGACCCCCAAUGGGAUGACCCCUCACCCGCCCGGGUCAUCUUUCGGCCUUCCUGGAGUCGAGGCAACAGUCAGCCUCGUUCUUACAUCUGUGUACCGAGCUACAACCCAGGCUUCAGGCACUGUAGGGACAGCCUCAACAGUGAAGGACCCCACCGAUUAGUGACAACAGACAGGCACUGUAGAGACAGCCUCAACAGUGAAGGACCCCACAGAUUAGUGACAACAGACAGGCACUGUGAGGACCGCCUCAACAGUGAAGGACCCCACAGAUUAGUGACAACAGACAGGCACUGUAGAGACAGCCUCAACAGUGAAGGACCCCACAGAUUAGUGACAACAGACAUCACGGGCCUGCAGCACUUCAGGGUAGCCUACGGCACAGCCGGCCAUCACAGGGACAGUUGUGGCCACAGGAGGACGUAUCAGUCAUUACGUGACAGGGGAACGAGCAGAUGCAUUGUGGGCCGGUGUAAUGGGCACAGAGAGAGUGGAGGAUGGGAGGAGGAGGAGGAGGAGGAGUGCAGGAGGAGGUGGGAGAGCAGGACACUUAGUCCCGAGAGGAGGUGUGAGAACAGGACACUUAGUCCCGGGAGGAGGUGUGAGAGCAGGACACUCAGCCCCCCCGGGAGGAGGUGUGAGAACAGGACACUUAGUCCCGGGAGGAGGUGUGAGAGCAGGACACUCAGCCCAGGGAGGAGGUGGCACAGGCACAGGGAAAGCAGAGAGAGGGACUACAUGAGGCCCAGGAGUCCCAGACUAAGGGGAGGACCGUGGGCCUACAGCCCCAGAGAGGUGAGCCUGGAUCGGGAGGAGGAGGAGGACGCGCGGCACAGCCCCGGUUCCACGCGGAGCGCCGGCUCCUCCACCAACACCAGCAUCUCGGAGCUCAGCUCCGACUGGGGCGCUGCUGCUGCUGGACAUGUUGGCCGGUGCUCGGGCAGAACCACCACGCAGGGCGCUGCCAACCAGCGGGCGGCGCCACGGCGAUCAGGUCCAGCCGCCCACGGAGAUAAACACGCGGCAACCACGCCACCAUCGCUCAUGCCCACGAAGAGAGACACAGAGGGGGGUUGUCAGCCAGACAAACGUGCCCACUUUGUGAGGAGACAUUUGGCGGGAUGGAGCUGUGGCAGCGGCGGCGGUAGCAAAAGAGACUCGGGCGCAGGGGGGCGGCGAGCGAGAGAGGAUCUGCCCACACAAGCGCUCGCACGCGCAGCAGCCGACCCAGCGGGAGGGGUGCCCCCGGAGGACAAAACCCUGGAAGUAACGAGAACAAACGGCGCGCUGUCACACAACAAGCACAACGCCCACGCACGCUGCCGCGCUCCAGUCAAGCACACGCCGCUGUUGCCGCUGAUAGGGAAGCAGCCCGCGGUGAGGAGGGCGCUCGGCAAAGCAGCCAGCCACAAAGUCAAGAGAGGCUUCCGGAAAGAUCCGCUGCACGCCGGUGCAGACAGCAGCAAGCUCAUCGGCAGGGAAAGGAAAAGAAUAAGCCCCCUGGAGAACGGGGGAGAGACCAUGAUCAAUUCCCCCACUGACGUGACCUCUCUGCAGGCUUGUGUACGACCCACGUCCCCCUCCACAUCGGAUAGAGCCACAGCUGAACGUACUUCAAUCACCACGAUUACCUCUCUACAACAGGAAAGAUCUCCAUCCCCUAAACACGACGACAUCACGCCUCGAUCCGCCCAAUCAGACCGGGAGGAGGAGGGCAGGGGUCACAGAGACCCCGCCCCUCCUCUGAGUGAGCAGCCAAUCAUGUUUAGCGCGGAGGAGAUUGACAAGUACAGGCGCCUACAGCAGCAGGCCAGGCAGCACAUGCAGAGUCAGCUGCAGCAGGUGCCCGCCGAGGUGCCCAUGGACAUGCCCUCGGCCCCUGCCAUCUCUUUGCCCCUCAACACUCCUUCCGCCCCUUUUCCUUCCAUUUGCCCCAUCUCUCCAUCUCCACCCCUCCAUCAUCCCUCUCUCCUCCUCCCCCUCCACCACUCCUCUUCUCCUCUCUGCACUCAUCCCUCUCUCCCUCUCUCCCCCCUCCACUCCUCUUCUCCUCUUCAUCCCUCUCUCCCUCCCCUCCACUCCUCCUCUCCUCUCUGCCCUCAUCCCUCUCUCCCUCUCUCCCCCCGCUCCUUCUCUCUCCCCCUCCGUCCGUCGCCACUUUCCGCUCAUCCGUCGGCGGUGUUGACCUCUCAUCACCCCCCUCUUUUCCUCCUCCCUGCAUCAUCCCUCCAUCCCGCGCCCCUCUACCCUUCUCUGCAUGCAGCUUCUCUCCUCACCUCCCUGCUCUCACACACACACUCUCAAGCAUACGCAGCACACACACACUCUCCAGCAUACACACACACACAUAGACACCAGCUGCACAUCCACCCUCUCACUCACCCCCUCUACGCCCGACAGGACAUACACUCGUUGAUUGGAUCGACUAGUUAGUCCAUGUUACACACACAUACACACCCACACACACACACACACACACACACACACACACACACACACACACACACACAGAUACACACACACACCCACACACAUACACACACUCACACAUUUGUAUUGUUAUAGUUAAUUGAAUCUUCAGUAAUACACCAGGCCCUAAGUACCUUUUUGAGUUUUGUGUUGUGAUUUUUUUCAUAUGGUUGUACUCAGCCAACAUGUCUUUAUAAAAACUGCAUAAUGCAUUACACAUGUAUUCUUAUCCAUGCCUGUUCUUUUGGUCAAUAUGUAGAAGUACACGCCAGUGGUCCUUGCACAGACAGGUACACACACACACACACACACACACACACACACACACACACACACACACACACACACACACACACACGUCAGUGGUCCUUGCCAUUGUGUUAUUCUACCUGCACCAAGUCACAUUUAGAUUCUGGUCACUGCAAGCGUAUGCUUGAUGAAGAGAUCUUUUUUUUUUCUUUUCUUUUCCUGUUUUUUGUAUCUCCAUUUUACCUCUGCCUAUCCCAGUGCAAUCAAACAGAGUACCUGCAGACCUCUCAAUCCUGGCAUCGUUUGCAUAAUUUAACGUUUAUGCAAAUCAGAGGGACCGGUUUGUCCUGGCGUAGAAAACUGGAUUCUAUCAGUGGAGCCACUGGCCAACAAAAAAAAAACAUGCUGAUUUUGAUGUCUUUGAUGCCAGGUGGAAGAGCAUCAAAAAACGUAUCUUCAGUUGAUUACUGGGUUAAAUGCUUAAUCUGGAAA